This 404-nucleotide long non-coding RNA is filed under the name Helianthus annuus (common sunflower). Lineage: Eukaryota; Viridiplantae; Streptophyta; Magnoliopsida; Asterales; Asteraceae. The record is from RNAcentral.
AAAUGAUUCCCCAUUCAAACUGCAUACUACUCCACGGUGCGGUUAGAGAAUCAAUCAAUGCUCAAACCUCAAAACACACACAUCGAUCAUUUGAGAACACACUAAACGUGGGAAACAUCUGCCAAAAAUGAUCAUAAAUCUUGCUUGGAAACAGGAAAAGAUGGCAAUGAAGGAUGUUCUAUUUGCGAUGAAGAUAAAGAGAAAACUGUGUUGUUUGUACACAUAUUGUAUUUUGUGUUGCUUGCAUACGAAGUGACGUUCUAGAUGGGAUGGAGUAGUGACGGUUUCUUCAUUCGGGAUGUAGAAAGUGAGGAAACUAUAGUAAUUUGUAUUUGGAUAUUUUGUAUAAUUUUGUAAUAUUUUAUGGCAUUAUAUUUCAUAUUUUUUCUUAUCUUAUUUGUAGA